Lycium barbarum (goji berry) is the source of this 650-nucleotide long non-coding RNA. RefSeq lists it as uncharacterized. The transcript is spliced from 3 exons. The record is from RefSeq and is a predicted model, not a curated record. Lineage: Eukaryota; Viridiplantae; Streptophyta; Magnoliopsida; Solanales; Solanaceae.
UCCAAUUUUGGGCUGGACUUGGUGAAAAACCAGAUUUUGUUGGUUUAUGAUGUCUCGCUUCUGUGGACAUGUAUUCGCUUUUGCGGGUCUGCCCAUGCGGGACAUGGCCCGCAGAUGCAAAUUGGUGAGGUGGUUAGUGACUUUGCGGAGGUGAGUCCGCAUCCGCAGAUGCGGAAACCACUGAAUCAGAAAAUCCUUUUAUUUCCCAAUUUUGAAUGAUUCCUUCCAUUUACCAAAAUCUUAACCUAGAGAGUAUUGUGGGUGAAACUGAAGAUUCUUUAGGGUGAAUUCAUCUUGGGACUUUGAUCGUUCGAAGGCAAUUAGGAAAGGGAAGGCCCAGAUUUAAGGAGUUUGAGGCUCGUGCUCGGUUUUGAGUGCAGAGUUUGAGACAGGAUCCACAUCGAGGCCCUGAGUUUAGCCCCGAGGCUUCUUAUCUCGAGAUUGGAGCAUGAGCCAUCAGCCGCAGCCCUAGAUCUCCUCCUUAUUAUCUAUUUCUUAUUUCCUUAGGCGGUACUCCUUGCGAUCAGACAUUUAUUAUAUUCUAAAUUUUUAUUUGGACUAGUCGUUCUGUACUUUGACUUCAAUCCUUGGGGAUGUAUUGACUUGGUAUUUCCGCACUUAUGCUCAUGUAUGAGUUAAGACUUACUGUG